This 349-nucleotide unclassified non-coding RNA is filed under the name soil metagenome. RNAcentral's name for it is "partial contains 5.8S ribosomal RNA, internal transcribed spacer 2, and large subunit ribosomal RNA". The stretch from base 1 to 120 matches the Rfam family "5.8S ribosomal RNA", at positions 35 to 154 of the family's 154-position model. The record is from RNAcentral.
GAUGAAGAACGUAGCGAAAUGCGAUAAGUAAUGUGAAUUGCAGAAUUCAGUGAAUCAUCGAAUCUUUGAACGCACAUUGCGCCCGCCAGUAUUCUGGCGGGCAUGCCUGUCCGAGCGUCAUUUCAACCCUCGAACCCCUCCGGGGGGUCGGCGUUGGGGAUCGGCCCUUUACGGGGCCGGCCCCGAAAUACAGUGGCGGUCUCGCCGCAGCCUCUCCUGCGCAGUAGUUUGCACACUCGCAUCGGGAGCGCGGCGCGUCCACAGCCGUUAAACACCCCAAACUUCUGAAAUGUUGACCUCGGAUCAGGUAGGAAUACCCGCUGAACUUAAGCAUAUCAAUAACGGAGGA